This 1409-nucleotide long non-coding RNA is filed under the name Piliocolobus tephrosceles (Ugandan red Colobus). RNAcentral describes it as "lncRNA (ENSPTEG00000015003.1)". Lineage: Eukaryota; Metazoa; Chordata; Mammalia; Primates; Cercopithecidae. The record is from RNAcentral.
ACUUUGCACUCUCCUCUAGCGGCCGCCUGUCCUUUUUAAGGAACUCCACCCUAGGUGGAGUCCUCACGAUAGUCACACCUCUCCUUUGGGCCUAGCAGGGCCAGAGAAAGACGGAAUCACUCCACCCACUCAGGUUGCCCAGAGAGCACUUUAGGUUCUGACCUGCGUGGGGCGCGAGGUCCCCCGUGGGGCAGCUAGGUGCCUCCAAGGAACCCCGCCCCAGAGGACCCGCAGGAGUUGCUGCCAUUUUUCGCUGAAGCCCCUGCCCUGGGGCUGGUGUUCUUCUCUAUGAUUCUACCAAUCGUCGGCAUUUUUCUCCUCCCUUCUUUCUUUUUAGGAAGGCGCUGGGGUGUGCGGCGGCAACGGCGGCGGUGAAGGGAUCCUCUUGUGGUAUCUCCUCGUGGGUUCCCGGCUUGAAGGAUUUCUUCUCCGCCUCAACUUUGUGUUCAAGUAGUGCUUUGGGGGUUGGGUUGGUUUUCAUAGCCCCCACCCCCGGCCCUCUCCUUUUAAAGGCCCGGAGAAAGAGGGGAGUGGGGGGCCAAGAACGAGAAGACGGGAGCGCGUCGCCCUGCGCGAUGUCAGAAUGGGGCGGGUGUGAGGGGAGCAGCUCUCUUGCGAUCAGCUCAGGAGUAUGAGCCUCCCGGAGGACGGCAUGAGUUCUGGACACUUCAGGAGUCCUCAGCUAGUGACAUGGUCGCCAAAGUCACAACCAGAGAGAACAGGAUUCGCAAGGCCAACGCUCCCAGAUAUGGAUCAACUCAUAAACAACUUGGAGGUCCAACUUAAUUCAGAAGGUGGCUCAAUGCAGGUAUUCAAGCAGGUCAGUUAUUAGGAAAAUAGGGUACUAAUAUUGGGCCAUAAUAGUAUUGAAUACCUGGUAGUGAUUACAGAAUUUAAACUCAUUGUUCUUUCUAUUACAUGUUUGGGGAUUGAGAAGAGGUGAAGGAAGACAUAUUUCUAGAAAGUAUAUAAAUGCCCUGGUUUCAUGUUCAACUAGGGAGUAGAUCUGGCCUACAAGAAACAUAGCCUCUGGAAUCAAGGCUAUAAAGACAAGAGUAGACCUUUAGUAGACAAUAGCAACUAUUUAUCUAGCACUAUUUCAUAUUUCAGAUAGGAUGAAGAUUAAAUGCAUUGUCUUAUUUAAUCUUCACCAUAAUCCUGUUGAACAGUGUAUUAAUUAGUGUUCUCCAGGGAAACAGAACCAACAGGAUAUAUGUGUAUGGUGUAUGUAUGUGUGUAUGUACAUGGAGAGAGAGAGAGAUUUCAAGAAAUUGCCUCAUUAGAUUGUGGAGGCAUGGCAAGUCCAAAACUCCAUUAGGGGCGGGCCGGCAGCCUGGAGAUUCAGAAGGAGUUGCAGUUUUGAGUCCAAAAGCAGAUUGUGAGAAGAAUUCUUUCUUGCUCUAUGGAGG